GCAUUGAUGGUUCAGUGGUAGAAUUCUUGAUUCAAAUAUAGAAGACGCAGGUUCAAUUCCUGCCCAGUGCA
RNAcentral lists this transfer RNA (71 nucleotides) under Loxodonta africana (African savanna elephant). It matches the Rfam family "tRNA". Rfam says of the family: Transfer RNA (tRNA) molecules are approximately 80 nucleotides in length. Their secondary structure includes four short double-helical elements and three loops (D, anti-codon, and T loops). Lineage: Eukaryota; Metazoa; Chordata; Mammalia; Proboscidea; Elephantidae. The record is from Rfam by way of RNAcentral.